This 465-nucleotide ribosomal RNA is filed under the name uncultured bacterium. Its description in RNAcentral is "partial 16S ribosomal RNA". It matches the Rfam family "Bacterial small subunit ribosomal RNA", at positions 338 to 795 of the family's 1533-position model. The record is from RNAcentral.
CCUACGGGUGGCAGCAGUAGGGAAUCUUCGGCAAUGGACGAAAGUCUGACCGAGCAACGCCGCGUGAGUGAAGAAGGUCUUCGGAUCGUAAACCUCUGUCAGCAGGGAAGAACGGUCACUGUGCUAAUCAGCAGUGAAUUGACGGUACCUGCAAAGGAAGCACCGGCUAACUCCGUGCCAGCAGCCGCGGUAAUACGGAGGGUGCGAGCGUUAAUCGGAAUUACUGGGCGUAAAGCGCUCGUAGGCGGUAUGUCAAGUCAAGGGUGAAAUCCCCGCGCUCAACGUGGGAACUGCCUUGGAAACUGGCAAACUGGAGUGUGUGAGAGGAUAGUGGAAUUCCAGGUGUAGGAGUGAAAUCCGUAGAUAUCUGGAGGAACAUCAGUGGCGAAGGCGACUAUCUGGCACAUAACUGACGCUGAGGAGCGAAAGCGUGGGUAGCAAACAGGAUUAGAUACCCGAGUAGUC